This 373-nucleotide ribosomal RNA is filed under the name uncultured organism. Its description in RNAcentral is "partial 16S ribosomal RNA". It matches the Rfam family "Bacterial small subunit ribosomal RNA", at positions 527 to 896 of the family's 1533-position model. The record is from RNAcentral.
GUAGGUGGCAAGCGUUGUCCGGAAUUAUUGGGCGUAAAGCGCGCGCAGGCGGUCCUUUAAGUCUGAUGUGAAAGCCCACGGCUCAACCGUGGAGGGUCAUUGGAAACUGGGGGACUUGAGUACAGAAGAGGAAAGCGGAAUUCCAAGUGUAACGGUGAAAUGCGUAGAGAUUUGGAGGAACACCAGUGGCGAAGGCGGCUUUCUGGUCUGUAACUGACGCUGAGGCGCGAAAGCGUGGGGAGCAAACAGGAUUAGAUACCCUGGUAGUCCACGCCGUAAACGAUGAGUGCUAAGUGUUAGGGGGUUUCCCGCCCCCUUAGUGCUGCAGCUAACGCAUUAAGCACUCCGCCUGGGGAGUACGGCCGCAAGGCUG